This 330-nucleotide ribosomal RNA is filed under the name Priceiella sichuanensis. RNAcentral's name for it is "partial small subunit ribosomal RNA". The record is from RNAcentral. Lineage: Eukaryota; Metazoa; Arthropoda; Insecta; Psocodea; Philopteridae.
UCUUUCGAGUUAAGAUGAGUGGAACAAAAAUAAAAAGCAUGGCGGUCCUUAAUCUCGUUAGAGGGGCAUGUAGCUAAAAACGAAUUUGCACGAGGAUCUGUCCUGGUCUCGAAUAAGUUUCAUUUUGUACACCGCUGUCUGAAAGAAAUUGUAAAAGUAUUUUCUCUAUUCUUUUAGAAGAAAUAAGGCAAGUUAAGGUGCAGAUGAUGAUCAGGGGGCUAUGUGCUCCGAUAAGAAUUUUAGACUAGUUAGAUGAAAUUUUACUAGAAAAGAGAAUUUAAUAGUAAGAUUAGGAAUUUAUCUAAUCUGAAGAGGGGCUAUGAAGGGUGU